RNAcentral lists this ribosomal RNA (510 nucleotides) under Triticum aestivum (bread wheat). Its description in RNAcentral is "partial small subunit ribosomal RNA". Lineage: Eukaryota; Viridiplantae; Streptophyta; Magnoliopsida; Poales; Poaceae. The record is from RNAcentral.
AUGUUCAAAUACAAAAAGGAAGUAAGCCAGAAUAUUUAUCCAUUGCUCAGUGUCAAGAGAAAGCAUGUCCCAGUUAUAAUUGUUUCUACUGGCAAAUCAAUCACCUCCUGCCUCAUCAUGUUAAAUGUGUGUGAUAAGGAUGCGUGUGGCAUUGCAUCUUUGCAGGAUAAGAGCUUCACCUUUAUCUUGAAGACACCUCCUGCCUCAGUACUGCUCCUCAAGGCUGCAGUGAACUACAUGGUUCCUUAUCUCCAUUUUAUUAAUUCUGAUUCCCAGGCGUCGAAAAAGGCUCAAAGGAGCCACAGCGACCAAGUACGCACGAUCGCCCAGGAGAAGUUGCCUAACUUGAACUGCAAAACCAUCGAGUCCGCCAUGAGAAUCAUAGCGGGCACUGCCGCUAACAUGGGCAUCGAUGUUGACCCGCCGAUCCUCGUGAAGAAGGAGAAGGUGGUCGAAUUGAUAGAAAAGGUAAUAUGUAGUCACCUGGCUGCUAGAGCAUAUAGAAGAUAA